GAUCCUGGCUUAGGAUGAACGCUAGCGACAGGCUUAACACAUGCAAGUCGAGGGGCAGCAUAAAAGUAGCAAUACUUGGUGGCGACCGGCGCACGGGUGAGUAACGCGUAUGCAACCUACCUAUCAGAGGGGAAUAACCCGGCGAAAGUCGGACUAAUACCGCAUAAAACAGGGACACCGCAUGGUGAUAUUUGUUAAAGAAAUUCGCUGAUAGAUGGGCAUGCGUUCCAUUAGGUAGUUGGUGAGGUAACGGCUCACCAAGCCGACGAUGGAUAGGGGAACUGAGAGGUUGGUCCCCCACACUGGUACUGAGACACGGACCAGACUCCUACGGGAGGCAGCAGUGAGGAAUAUUGGUCAAUGGGCGAGAGCCUGAACCAGCCAAGUCGCGUGAAGGAAAGAAGGAUCUAUGGUUCGUAAACUUCUUUUGCAGGGGAAUAAAGUGCAGGACGUGUCCUGUUUUGUAUGUACCCUGAGAAUAAGGAUCGGCUAACUCCGUGCCAGCAGCUGC
Molecule: ribosomal RNA, 511 nt
Filed under: uncultured bacterium
Lineage: Bacteria
Description: bacterial SSU rRNA
Rfam family: Bacterial small subunit ribosomal RNA
Source: RNAcentral